CGGGGAAUAUUGCACAAUGGGCGCAAGCAUGAUGCAGCCAUGCCGCGUGUAUGAAGAAGGCCUUCGGGUUGUAAAGUACUUUCAGCGGGGAGGCAGGCGAUAAGGUUAAUAACCUUGUCGAUUGACGUUACCCGCAGAAGAAGCACCGGCUAACUCCGUGCCAGCAGCCGCGGUAAUACGGAGGGUGCAAGCGUUAAUCGCAAUUACUGGGCGUAAAGCGCACGCAGGCGGUCUGUCAAGUCGGAUGUGAAAUCCCCGGGCUCAACCUGGGAACUGCAUUCGAAACUGGCAGGCUAGAGUCUUGUAGAGGGGGGUAGAAUUCCAGGUGUAGCGGUGAAAUGCGUAGAGAUCUGGAGGAAUACCGGUGGCGAAGGCGGCCCCCUGGACAAAGACUGACGCUCAGGUGCGAAAGCGUGGGGAGCAAACA
Molecule: ribosomal RNA, 427 nt
Filed under: uncultured bacterium
Lineage: Bacteria
Description: partial 16S ribosomal RNA
Rfam family: Bacterial small subunit ribosomal RNA
Source: RNAcentral